CAAAAGAUUACUAAAAUAGCACUCAGCCCUUCUUAUUAAAUUUUAAAAGUCUGUAUCUUUUUUUAGGGGGCCAUCAAGAAAUGAAAAUUUGUGGUGGCAAUAUAAAAGUUCAGUAAGUUCAUUUAAAAGUGAUUCCUAUUUAGAAUACAUUCCAUGUUUCUGCGAGGUUAGUCAUCUACCAAGUUUUUGGUGAUUAACCUUACAAUGGUAUUGGUCAAUUCCAGGAAGCAGCAAUGGGAUUUUUGAAGGGUAUUCAUAUCAUCAGAAAUCUAGAAAAACGCACUUUAAAAAAAAUUUCUUGCUCAUGGAGGUCUGUGAGCCCCAUAAGGAUUGAGCACUCAGGCUGAAUGCUCAUUCAAUUCAGCCAUCUUCAUUUGGUUUUGUUUUAUUUUUUUUCACUUCUAAGUGGAGAACAGUUUAGGAGGAAUCAGUCGAGUUUA
This 440-nucleotide long non-coding RNA is filed under the name Bos taurus (domestic cattle). RNAcentral's name for it is "long non-coding RNA NONBTAT007242". The record is from RNAcentral. Lineage: Eukaryota; Metazoa; Chordata; Mammalia; Artiodactyla; Bovidae.